CCGUAGCGUACCGAAAUGGGCGGGUACAAAGGGUCGACGAACCCGCGAGGGGAGCCAAUCCCAAAAAGCCGGUCUCAGUUCGGAUUGGAGUCUGCAACUCGACUCCAUGAAGUCGGAAUCGCUAGUAAUCGCGUAUCAGCCAUGACGCGGUCGAAUACGUUCCCGGGCCUU
This 171-nucleotide ribosomal RNA is filed under the name uncultured Candidatus Sumerlaeota bacterium. RNAcentral's name for it is "partial 16S ribosomal RNA". It matches the Rfam family "Bacterial small subunit ribosomal RNA", at positions 1214 to 1382 of the family's 1533-position model. The record is from RNAcentral. Lineage: Bacteria; Candidatus Sumerlaeota.